Molecule: long non-coding RNA, 211 nt
Filed under: Homo sapiens (human)
Lineage: Eukaryota; Metazoa; Chordata; Mammalia; Primates; Hominidae
Description: HSALNT0128316
Source: RNAcentral
CAUAUGAUAAAAUAGAGCAUUUUAAAAACAAGUUUUUGAAAAGAUUAAGAAUUUAUAAAAAGCUCUAAGAAGGAAACUUCAAAUACGGAUCUCAAUCACAAGCAAGGUAUAAUACCUGUUUCUACCUUGAUGAAUUCAGCUGGAUGUCCCAGAUUGAAAUUCGAAGGCUCACCAAUAUUUACCUUUUUUCAGUCCAAAGCUAAGAGCAACA